Molecule: transfer RNA, 72 nt
Organism: Camelus ferus (Wild Bactrian camel)
Lineage: Eukaryota; Metazoa; Chordata; Mammalia; Artiodactyla; Camelidae
Rfam family: tRNA
About the family: Transfer RNA (tRNA) molecules are approximately 80 nucleotides in length. Their secondary structure includes four short double-helical elements and three loops (D, anti-codon, and T loops).
Source: Rfam
AAGGGUAUAGCUCAGUGGUACAGUGAGUGCUUAGCAUGCAUGAGGUCCUGGGUUCUAUUCCCAGUACCUUCA